GGCGAGGUAGCUCAGCAGGUUAGAGCGUCGGAUUCAUAACCCGGAGGUCGGGAGUUCAAGUCUCCCCCUCGCUA
This 74-nucleotide transfer RNA is filed under the name Flavobacteriaceae bacterium. RNAcentral describes it as "tRNA-Met". It matches the Rfam family "tRNA". From Rfam's summary of the family: Transfer RNA (tRNA) molecules are approximately 80 nucleotides in length. Their secondary structure includes four short double-helical elements and three loops (D, anti-codon, and T loops). Further hydrogen bonds mediate the characteristic L-shaped molecular structure. tRNAs have two regions of fundamental functional importance: the anti-codon, which is responsible for specific mRNA codon recognition, and the 3' end, to which the tRNAs corresponding amino acid is attached (by aminoacyl-tRNA synthetases). tRNAs cope with the degeneracy of the genetic code in two manners: having more than one tRNA (with a specific anti-codon) for a particular amino acid; and 'wobble' base-pairing, i.e. permitting non-standard base-pairing at the 3rd anti-codon position. The record is from RNAcentral. Lineage: Bacteria; Pseudomonadati; Bacteroidota; Flavobacteriia; Flavobacteriales; Flavobacteriaceae.